GCUGAGAGACCGAGAGUGAGGACGGAGAGCGAGAGGAAGAAGUUGGCGACGGAGGUGGUGAUCGGAGGAGCUACACUUGCUUGCAAACCGGUUGAACUGUCAAGGUUUUGAUAUCUGCAAAAGUCCACAGAAGAAGCUAAGAGGAAGGAAACAAGUAAGGUUUGAUUUUGAAGCAGAAGGUUCAGCUAGAGCAAGCAAUUCCAAGAGUAAGGAGGUCAUAAGUGCUGAAGGUGGGCUUGUAUGAAGAGCAGGAAUGCCUGCUGCUUUUGUACCUACAGAAUAAUUAUU
Molecule: long non-coding RNA, 288 nt
Organism: Neltuma alba
Lineage: Eukaryota; Viridiplantae; Streptophyta; Magnoliopsida; Fabales; Fabaceae
Exons: 3
Source: RefSeq, a predicted model, not a curated record